RNAcentral lists this ribosomal RNA (331 nucleotides) under uncultured eukaryote. RNAcentral describes it as "partial 18S ribosomal RNA". It matches the Rfam family "Eukaryotic small subunit ribosomal RNA", at positions 1470 to 1796 of the family's 1831-position model. The record is from RNAcentral.
CCCUUAGAUGUUCUGGGCCGCACGCGCGCUACACUGUUCGACGCAGCGAGUCUUAACCUUGACCGAAAGGUUUGGGUAAUCUUCAGCAAAGUCGAACGUGAUGGGGAUCGAUCAUUGCAAUUAUUGAUCGUGAACGAGGAAUUCCUAGUAAGUGCAAGUCAUCAGCUUGCGCUGAUUACGUCCCUGCCCUUUGUACACACCGCCCGUCGCUACUACCGAUUGAAUGGUUUAGUGAGAUCUCUGGAUUGACGCUGGCUAGGGGGCGACCCUUGGCCAGACUGUUGAGAAACUGCUCAAACUUGAUCAUUGAGAGGAAGUAAAAGGCGGAACA